AGAAUGAAGAAAAAUAAUGGACAUUUUUAACCAAAAAAAAAAAGGAAAGAAAGAAAGAAAGAAAAAAAGAGAUGUAACUCGAGCAUCAGAAAGUGUAUGCUUCCCAGCCAGUUGAGGACUUCCAACACUAAGAUUAAUUCCGUAAAGCCAUCACCGACAAUCUGUUUAUGGCACCAUCAACUCAGUAAACUGAUAGAUGUCAACAGGCCAGCUCCACCGUGCUAUAGUGCCUGGGAAAUCCCAAUUUCUUCAUUCGAUCAAACCUUUCAUGAAAGGAGCAAUUCCUCAUACUUCAUCAUCCACAAUGCUCCAAACCAUCCAGAAUAUCGAAAAGGCAAGAAGUAUCACAAGGUAUCCAAGCUUAUACAACCGAACCUUCUUAUCCCACGGAAGCUGAUUGAAAAUCUCAGUUACAUCCACCAAGUGGCAGCGAUCAGUAUAGACUUUGAUGUUAUAAUAUAAGUAUGGCAGACAUAUCAGAAACAUCAACCAAUGCCCUGUCACAAGAUGUAGGAAGCACAAUGCUCCUUGAAGAGCAAAUUCUGGCACCACUACUCUAUUAAUCCGAGAUGCUGAAUCAUAAGGG
Molecule: unclassified non-coding RNA, 586 nt
Filed under: Hevea brasiliensis (rubber tree)
Lineage: Eukaryota; Viridiplantae; Streptophyta; Magnoliopsida; Malpighiales; Euphorbiaceae
Source: RNAcentral